UAGGAAAGAGUGAAUCGAUAACUUCACAUAGGAUAGAAUACAGAAAAAGGAUUUAUGUGACCGAUCCAAUUUAAUUUGUCAAGGAUUCAUAGCCAACCCCGAAUUUUAAGAGUAAGACUUUGUCAUUGUUGUUUGUUCGGGCUAUGCCUUGUAAACAUAUUGGUCAUUGUGUCCACUUCGCUAUUAUAUUAGCGCUAAAGGAAGCAGGAUUUUUCCAGAAACUCAUCUCUCCAAGUAGGCCUUUCCAAGAUCGAUUGAACUUGAAGAAAUCGAGCAACCCGCCGUCAUCUGAUCCAAAAUUUGAUCGAUUCGAUGAGCUUGUUAGUCGGCCGCAGUUCUGAAAGAUGUAGAUUCGACAAAGUCGGUUCAAGUGACGGGCGAGAGUGCUUGAAACCCAACGAACCCGACUCGGACCAAAAACCUUCUCUUCCACCCUUUUUCCAGCGAGUUUUCUGGCCAUUUAAAGAUAAAAAGAUCUCGACAAAUCUGACCACAUUUUGGCCAGAUCUAACAAACCUAACGAACUCGACAUUCGACCACCACCCGAUGAGGCACGAUCCGAUGUGCUUGGCGGGUCAGUUGCAAGUUUCAUUCUUUCCAACUCAAAGUGUGACUUUCACUACUUCUAUGGCUGGGAGAACGUUACGAGGCUGAGAAUCUAUUUGGUGAAAAAUGGGCUUUUGUCCAAUUGCCAAUUUCAGCUGUUCGUGAGGAGGUCUCAUCCUUGGAGACAAGAUUGGUGUUUGGUGCAGGUCUAGAUUUGGAUUUACUGGGAAUUGAAAUUGAUGAUAAGACAUUAAUUCCAGGACUGGCUGUCGCGACUUCACGUGCUAGACCUUUAGCAGCUUGGAUGAAUGGACUGGAAGUCUGUUCAAUUGAGGCUGAACUCAGUCGUGCUUCCUUGAUUUUAUCUGUUGGAAUUUCUAAUCGGUAUAUUUAUGCUACCUACAAGAAAACUCCUGAAACAACAAAUGAAUCUGAAGCUUGGGAAGCAACUAAAAAAGCCUGUGGAGGCUUACAUUUCCUUGAAAUCCAAGAAGACUUAGAUUCGGAUGAUUGUGUUGGAUUUUGGCUCCUACUAGACUUGCCACCUCCACCUGUAUAAUUUAAAUUAUUAAAUAAAAGAAAAUUCCUUGCUAACACAAUCUCUCAAAU
This is a long non-coding RNA of Quercus lobata, 1155 nucleotides long. RefSeq lists it as uncharacterized. The transcript has 6 exons. NCBI's taxonomy places the organism in Eukaryota, Viridiplantae, Streptophyta, Magnoliopsida, Fagales, Fagaceae. The record is from RefSeq and is a predicted model, not a curated record.